This 76-nucleotide transfer RNA is filed under the name Planctomycetota bacterium. RNAcentral's name for it is "tRNA-Ala". It matches the Rfam family "tRNA". Rfam says of the family: Transfer RNA (tRNA) molecules are approximately 80 nucleotides in length. Their secondary structure includes four short double-helical elements and three loops (D, anti-codon, and T loops). Lineage: Bacteria; Pseudomonadati; Planctomycetota. RNAcentral also lists the same sequence under 1 other name. The record is from RNAcentral.
GGGGGUGUAGCUCAGUUGGAAGAGCAUCGCGUUUGCAACGCGAAGGUCACGGGUUCGAGCCCCGUCGCCUCCACCA